Molecule: long non-coding RNA, 4327 nt
Filed under: Nicotiana tabacum (common tobacco)
Lineage: Eukaryota; Viridiplantae; Streptophyta; Magnoliopsida; Solanales; Solanaceae
Description: long non-coding RNA (NTAB_LNC001979)
Source: RNAcentral
UAGGGGCUAACUAUUAAAAGUUCUACCUACGAUAAUAUCUUCCUUUCAUAUUAGGUAGGCCAAAAUAUUUUAAAACAUAUUUUUUUGAAGAUUACUUUUUCUUAAAAAGCUGAAAAUAACUUCCUUGGCAUGCCCAGGAAAGUCAAGUUUCAUGCUCAAACCACCGGCGCCGGCGGUAGACACCUACCAAUCUCCCCUUGGUACAAACCUUACUCUUUGGUGAAGGAAUAAUUUUGUCCCUUUUGCUAAUGAAAUACAACAGACUGGUGCGUUUUUCUUCUUUUAUCUUUUUCUACCUUUCUACCUUUCUGGACAUUUUCCCAUUUUAUUUACCAAAAAUAGUACCAUUAACUGGAACCUUCAGAAUUUAGUCACUUUUAAUAGAAAAUUAAUUAAUUUGUCUUUGAUUUUUGUAUGUACAUUUUAAAAUAAAAACUAAAUAGGGAAUUUUCUUGUAAUAUUGUUAGAAAACUAUUUUUUCCCUUACAAUGGAAGAGUGAAAAAUAUUUUAGUCACCGAACAUUGAAAAUAAUUUAACUAACUAAAAAUUAGAAAUAAGUAAAGAAAUCACUUAUUUUCUAAGUAAACCUCUUAGAUGGGACAUAUCUUUCUUGGUAUCAAACACACCGUUAAAAGAAUGCAACGUUACAGUUAUAUUGUCUAUCAAGUGGCUUAAAAAAAUAUUCUAACAAACUAUACACUACACAAAGCAAUUAAUCAGUAUUUUGAGGUCUUAUGUUAUAUGCACUUCAAAAACAAUUGCUUGGUCGCAUAUAUUUUCGUUUGUUCUAUUUUUUUUUCCUAUUAUUUUAUUAUGUGAAUAAUAUUGUAACUUAUGUUAAAUUUGUUUUUUUUUUCAAAUAGUUAAAUUUACCAUUAUUUUAUCAAUAUUUGUAAUCUUUUAACUUGGAGUUAUUUGUAAAUCCAUCUUUUCGUUUAAAAACUAAAGGGUAACGUUAGGAAGGAAUGAAUUUUUUUAGGAAGGUCUUAAAAGAACAAUAAAAACAAUUCUUUUUGGUCAAAAGAAAAUUUUUAUUCAACCUGAAGUAAAUAUAUACACCAUCUGCGCGCUUAUUGAACUCUAGAGUCAUGAUCCUCGAAUAUAACCAAAAACUAAUGCAUAUAAGCAACACAUGUGCUACACUAUCAACUACUUAAUUUAUCUUCUUCGACGAAGGAUAUAAAUUAAACAGCUUCCUAUAGUGACAUAGACCACUAACAUGGAAAACUAUUUAAAACCAUCCAGAUUUUGUUUUCAUUUACAUUGCAUGUGUACUACAAUAUGCAACUGCAAUGCAAUUUCUCUAACUCCACCAAAAUUGUAUCUCCUCAUAUGUUAAAUCUUCUAUCGUCUCUUUCCAACCAAAUAUGAUGUACAACAACAGCUGCAAAUAAAAAUAGGAGUUCUUCCUGUUCACCCUCAGAGAAAGGCAUGCCACUUCUUCUUCUCAUUGAUCAAUAUGUCCCUUAAUGCCAAAUUAGCUUAACAAUUUCUGCCAGACAAGUGCAGAAUAAGAACACUCGAAUAAGAGGUAGGUAUGUGUUUUCUUCAAGGUCACCUGUGCAGUAGAGAUUUCAGUCCUCGUCGUAUUAACAUGUCCACUCUUGCUAGCCUUUUUCUGAAUUGUCAUCCAUAAAAUGAAUUGACAUCUAGGAAUAAUGUCUGUUAGCAUGAUUAAUAAUUUUCGAGGAAAUUUUGGGUGUUGUGGAUGGAAUUUUGCGUUAUGCUUCCUUGUCAUAACCCGAUAGUUCAUUUAUAGUAUUACCCUUAAUUUCUGUAUUCCGAGACCUUGAAUAGCUCCGUUAGCCUUCUUCAAUUUGUGUGCGCAGUCUGUGUCCUUACUCCGGAAGGUUUUUAUGAGAAAGUUGAAAAAAAUGUCAUGAAAUCGUGCCUUAAAACUCAUUUGAGUUGACUAUGGUCAACGUUUUGUGUACACAGACCCGAAUUAGUAUUUUGACGGUCCCGGUGGGUCCAUAUCAUAAUUUGGGACUUGGGCGUAUGACCGGAAUCGAAUUCGGAAGUCCCUAACUUGAUUUAUCAUAGUUUGUUGAAAACUAGAAGCUUAAAGUUUUAAAAACCUCAUAAGUUUGACCGUAGUUUGACUUUGUUGUUACCGGGUUUGAAUUUCGAUUUCGGAACUUGGUAUGAGUUUAUUACAUUAUUUAUGACUUGUCUGCAAAAUUUGGUGUAAAACGGAGUUGAUUUGACAUGAUUCGGUUGAGAAAUUUCAUAUUCUUAAGUUUCAUUGAGAAAUUCAUUCGUUUUGGUGUCCGAUUCAUAGUUCUAGGUAUUAUUUUGGUGUCUUGACCACGCGAGCGAGUUCUUAUAAUAUUUUUGGACUUGUGUGCAUGUUUUCUUUGGAGCCCCAAUGCUUGGGUGAGUUUCAGAUAGGUUGCGGAUAUUUUUGAACUUUAGGAAAUGCUGGUUUAGCUUCUGCUGGUUUCUGGUGCACGCUUCUUCACGAUCGCGAAGAGUCGUUUGGGACAGGGGAGGAGAUUGUUCUUCGCAAAUGCGACUGUUCCUCCGCGAACGCGAAGCAUUGUGGGUUUGGUGGAGUUGGGCUUGUGUUACGCGAACGCGAUGGUCAGAGGGAGGAACUAUCACUAACGCGGAGCACUUCUCGCGAACGCGUACAUUUGGGCCAAUGUGCAUCGCGAACACGACAGGCCCUUCGCGAACGCGAAGAAGGCCUGAUGCCCAGACCUUAAAACAUUUCAAACACGGAAUUCACCCAUUUUUCACCAUCUUUAUUUGAGCUCGGCCUAGAGGCGACUUGGAGAAGAAAUUUCAUUACCCUUACAUAUGUUAGUGUACUUUAACUUAUUUCUUCCGUUUCCAUCAUCGCCCAUUGAUUUCUAGCCUUAAUCUUUGUUCUUUCGUGGUAGAAAAUUAGGGAUUAGUAAAGAAUUGAGGGGGGGGGGGAGGGUUGGGGAUUUGCAAAUUUGGGAUUUAGACCUCAAAUUGAGGUCAGAUUUCGAAAAUAAUUACAUUAAUCGGGCUCGGAAAUUAACGGGUAAAUGGAUUUUAGUCCGAACCUCCGAUUUUGACCAAGCGGGCCUGGUAUUGACUUUUGUUGAAUUUUUUAGGAAAGUAUAAAGAUUUUAAAUUUAUGUAUUGUAAUUGAUUUCCCUAGCAUUAUUUGAUGUCAUUGAGUCGAUUUUGGUUAGAUUCGGUUGGUUCGAAGGCAGGUUUAGAGGGCCCUGGUAGAGCUUUGAUUUGCUUGCAUAGCAAGUUAAGUGUUGGUUCUAACCUUGAUUUGAGGGAAUUAGGAACCCUUGAGCUAUGUGCUAUGUGAAAUUCAUGUGUAGCAGUGUAUAUGCAAGGUGACGAUUAUAUAUAUAUGCGCCAUCAAAAUACUUGUUUCCAUGCUUUUCCCCCCGUAUUUUAUUAAGUAUUUCAUUCCAUGUCUUAACUAGUACAUGCUUAAUUGCCUCAUAUACCUUAAUUUGCUAUUUAUCAUUUAUUAUUCUUGUAUUAAAAUGUUAGUUUCUCCCAUGCUUCCAUGUUUAAUUAACUUGCUUGUAUUCUUUAGUUGUCAUUUAUUUGACUUAUCUUGCUUCUUAGUAAUAAUUUUAGCAAAUUCUUGAUUUGGUACCAGAUUUCCCUUAUGGCUCUACUUUCAUAUUCGUUAAUGAUAGAGAUUCUUAUGAUUUGAGUUGUUGAAUUGAUUUCAUUUAUUGAUUUGUGUUUAUGAAUUGGGUUACAUGCUGCAACAGGUGGAAUAAGGGAAGAUUGAUAUUAAUAUGGUGGGAUCGGGUUGCAUGCCUCAACAGAUGGAAUAAAGGAGGAUUGAUAUGAUGAAAUAAGGGAGGAUUAUGAUAUUGAUUCUAAUUUUAUGGUGGGAUCGAGUUGUGCGCCUCAACAUUAUUUUACUUGUUAUUAUUGAUAUUUACAUGAAGGAAUAAGGGAGGAUUGUGUUUGUACGGUGGGAUCGGGUUGCACGCCGCAACAAUUUAUGUGUUGGUAUUCCUUGCUGCAUUAUGUUGGGUUCGGUGUGUUCGUAUGAGAUUCUAAGGAUCUAUAUUUCUGGUUUUACUGGUUUUUAAGAAUUGACUUAUUUUUAUGAGUUAACUGCCUUAUUUUUCCUGUAUUUCCAUUCUUGUCAUUACUAUUAUAUUGCGUACAAGUUAUUACAAGUGACCCUCCUUAGCCUAGUCACUAUUUCAUUGAGGUUAGGCUCGGCACUUACAAAGUACAUAGGUUAGUUUUUAUCAUACUACACUCUAUACUUCUUGUGCAGACUUUGGAGUUAGUCCCAAUGGCGGUCAGUAGAUCACUUGGAUCAGACAUCUGACGGAUAUAACUGCUCAGUGUUUGCAGCCCUGG